This 466-nucleotide transfer RNA is filed under the name Pseudomonas fluorescens. RNAcentral describes it as "partial 16S-23S ribosomal RNA intergenic spacer". The stretch from base 66 to 139 matches the Rfam family "tRNA". The record is from RNAcentral. Lineage: Bacteria; Pseudomonadati; Pseudomonadota; Gammaproteobacteria; Pseudomonadales; Pseudomonadaceae.
UUAUCGAGAUCUCAGCUUCUUCAUAAGCUCCCACACGAAUUGCUUGAUUCACUGGUUAGACGAUUGGGUCUGUAGCUCAGUUGGUUAGAGCGCACCCCUGAUAAGGGUGAGGUCGGCAGUUCGAAUCUGCCCAGACCCACCAAUUGUUGGUGUGCUGCGUGAUCCGAUACGGGGCCAUAGCUCAGCUGGGAGAGCGCCUGCUUUGCACGCAGGAGGUCAGGAGUUCGAUCCUCCUUGGCUCCACCAUCUAAAACAAUCGUCGAAAGCUCAGAAAUGAAUGUUCGUGAAUGAACAUUGAUUUCUGGUCUUUGCACCAGAACUGUUCUUUAAAAAUUCGGGUAUGUGAUAGAAGUAAGACUGAAUGAUCUCUUUCACUGGUGAUCAUUCAAGUCAAGGUAAAAUUUGCGAGUUCAAGCGCGAAUUUUCGGCGAAUGUCGUCUUCACAGUAUAACCAGAUUGCUUGGGG